AGCGAACGCUGGCGGCAGGCCUAACACAUGCAAGUCGAACGAACCUUUCGGGGUUAGUGGCGGACGGGUGAGUAACACGUGGGAACGUGCCUUUAGGUUCGGAAUAACUCAGGGAAACUUGUGCUAAUACCGAAUGUGCCCUUCGGGGGAAAGAUUUAUCGCUUUUAGUGCGGCCGGCGUUGGUUUAGCUAGUUGGUUGAGGUAAUGGCUCACCAAGGCGACGAUCAGUAGCUGGUCUGAGAGGAUGAUCAGCCACAUUGGGACUGAGACACGGCCCAAACUCCUACGGGAGGCAGCAGUGGGGAAUCUUGCGCAAUGGGCGAAAGCCUGACGCAGCCAUGCCGCGUGAAUGAUGAAGGUCUUAGGAUUGUAAAAUUCUUUCACCGGGGACGAUAAUGACGGUACCCGGAGAAGAAGCCCCGGCUAACUUCGUG
This 434-nucleotide ribosomal RNA is filed under the name uncultured bacterium. RNAcentral's name for it is "partial 16S ribosomal RNA". It matches the Rfam family "Bacterial small subunit ribosomal RNA", at positions 29 to 507 of the family's 1533-position model. The record is from RNAcentral.